AACGAACGCUGGCGGCAUGCCUAACACAUGCAAGUCGAACGAGACCUUCGGGUCUUGUGGCGCCCGGGUUCGUAACGCGUGGGAACCUGCCCUUAGGUUCGGAAUAACUCUCCGACAGGGGUGCUAAUACCGGAUCAUGUCUUCGGACCAAAGAUUUAUCGCGUUUGGUUGGGCCCGCGUUGGAUUAGCUUGUUGGUAGGGUUAUAGCCUACCAAGGCGACGAUUCAUAGCUGGUUUGAGAGAAUGAUCAGCCACACUAAGACUGGGACACGGCCCAGAAUCUUACGGAAGGCGGGAGUGCGGGAUAUUGGACAGUGGGCGAAAGCAUGAAGCUGCUAGGCCGGGUAAGUGAUGAAGUCCGUAGGGAUGUAAAGCUCUUUUAACCGGGAUGAUAAUGACAGUACCGGAAGAAUAAGCCCCGGCUAACUCCGUG
RNAcentral lists this ribosomal RNA (433 nucleotides) under uncultured bacterium. RNAcentral's name for it is "partial 16S ribosomal RNA". It matches the Rfam family "Bacterial small subunit ribosomal RNA", at positions 29 to 507 of the family's 1533-position model. The record is from RNAcentral.